GAUCCUGGCUCAGGAUGAACGCUAGCGGCAGGCUUAACACAUGCAAGUCGAGGGGCAGCAUGAGGAGUCAGCAAUGACACCUUGAUGGCGACCGGCGCAAGGGUGCGUAACGCGUGAGCAACCUGCCCGUCACGGGGGGAUAACCGGUGGAAACGCCGACUAAUAUCCCAUGGUUUCCGUUGGGGGCAUCCCCGGCGGAAUAAAGGCUUCGGCCGGUGACGGAUGGGCUCGCGUAACAUUAGGCAG
Molecule: ribosomal RNA, 246 nt
Filed under: uncultured bacterium
Lineage: Bacteria
Description: partial 16S ribosomal RNA
Rfam family: Bacterial small subunit ribosomal RNA
Source: RNAcentral